GGAAGUGCGUAACGCUGAUGAUGGGCUGGUGGCAGCGAGUUACGUGCUGUCCCGACCUGAAAAGCUGGAUUGGCAACGACACCUGAUGUCCCAGCGGAGGGCUGCUGCUGUGCCGUCUGUACAGGAUUGAACCACACCUUUUUCUGGCACAUCCAUUCUGAAAUAUUUUGUUUUCUUUGUGGGGUUAUAUCAAACAUUUUUCUGGAACAUCCAUAGUCACUUAUAGUCACCAAAGCUGCACUGCAGCCUUAUGAGAGAUGCUCUUGCUAUUACUACAGCCUUCCUUCCUCUGAGAUCUCCACUGCAUCUUCCAGGCCAGGGAACUGGACAAAUUGCCAUGACAGAAGCUGAAAAGCAUUUGGACACCUUCAUUUCUGGUGCAUUCCUUCUCUCCAGUACUGAAAUCUGCAAUGAGUUGCAGUUGGUAAAAUGAAAAUGUCUUAAUUCAGGAAAUGUAGAUGAAAACAUUCAGCAUGGAAUCCAGGCAACAACAAGUAAGUAAGUUAUUCACAGAAUGAAAGAAGAUGCAGCUUUGGUGCUGCUAGGAGGAGCGUAAAUCUGAGAAGGAGAUUUUUAGUGCACUCUAAUAGAUCAGUUCUCCUAGCAACAUUUUCUUCAGCUUUAGAAAUGCCUUGUCUCUGGUCCAAAUUGUUAGCUUAAUUGCCCUGAUUAUCAUUCAGUCUGUUCUAAGGAACUUUGUGAUGCACAGUAGCAUGCCAAGAAAAUGUAAGCAUCAUUUUGUAUUCUUACUAUACUCACAUUUUUCAUUAUUGCUUUUCAUGAUUGCUUAGGGUCAUGAUUUCAGACUGCCUCCCUAUGGAAAACCAGACUCUUCAAGGAGAUUAGGUAAAGUGCAGCUCUAUCCAGAGCUGCCUUAACCCUGGUGCUCUUGAUACCUAUCAAUCAGCAACGUGUAGUGUGAGUGGUGUACAAACCUCUUCUUCAAUACACAGGGACAAGUGCUUAUCCCAAGGCUCCAAAUUCCACAGGACAUCCCAAAGUUAAUGCCAGGAAAACUACCAGGGGGGUAUGAAGUUAUACCCUUCCUCUUUCUUCCCUGACAAUUUUACAAGGUUGCCAGUUCUAAGAAACAUUAGUGCUUACACUUAUGAAAAUAGAAUAUUAAUGAAUAUUCCCUAAGUGACCUACAGGCGUGAUCCCAACUAACACUGUAAUGAUGAGAGAGCAGGUUAUCACCAUAAAAGUCAGCAAUACACUUGAAGAGCUGUGUCUUGUUUGCAUUUUCGUGAAAUACAGCCUUAUGACUGACAUCAAACUGCUCCCUUUGGGCAAUCAGUUAAGAUCACAAAGCAAAAAGGACAGCCGUUUUAUUUUCUUUGAAAUGCAUGCCUUUUAUGUGCUGUACCUGUGAUACAGCAUCUGUGACUGAAAGCUGCUCUUUUGCAGUAGGAGAACAUAAAUCCCUGGCAGAGAUAUUUCCACACAUUCAGCUUCUCUUUAUGUUUGUGUUCACUGCUGUGGUUUGGAUUUCUCUUACCUACAAACAGUAAAAUUUAUUAUUAAUUUUCAACAUUCGUACGCAAAAUAAGAUCCCCCAGAAGGUCAGGAAACUCGUGGGUGCUGAAAGACUUUAAGAAUAUUGUGAAGAUUUUUAGGCUAAAAUUUCCAAUCUCUCUUCUCCCCUAUCCCAUUUACCAUUUUCUUCAGCAAAGCUGAAGAAGGCAAUACCACUCAGUUACAGUGGUCUCUGGCAGCAAACCUCCUCCUGCUCAAAAUGUACCUUGUCAUGGUUUCAUUGUUUUUCAUCUGUAUUCCACAUCAGUGUUCCAUUCCAUGACAUACCUGCAAAGCACGCAGGCCUUGGUCUAAGCAUAAGGGGACAAGACCCUCAAAAUCACAGAAUCAUUUGAAUUGGAAGGGACCCUUAAAUGCCAUCUGGUCCAACUCCCCUGCAAUGAACAGGGACACCUAUAGGUACAUCAGGUGCUCAGAGCCCCAUCCAGCCUGACCUUGAGUGCCUCCAGGGAUGGGGCUUCCACCACCUCUCUGGGCAGCUUGUGCCCGUGUUUCACUAUUGAGGGACCAGGAGAGCGCACACAGCCUUUGGUGCCUUCACACAUCCUCACCCCAGCAUUAAGCUCUCCCCACCAGCACCAAUGCUACUCCUUAGCUGUCUCCUUGCCCCAGCAGGAGCAAGCUGCACUGCUCACACACACAGCAGCUCACUCCUACUCCUGCCUCCAGGCUCUGUUCCCUCUUUAAUUCCCUCAUUGCACCUUUGUUAACAGAAGCACGUGUAAAAGCUUCAGGUCCCUUUAUGUACCAGAGUCAAACAUUUACUUACAAUCACUGUUGCAGCAAUAACGAUUAAAUUAAACAUGAAGGGAACGUAGCUGCCUGGAAGAUCUACAAGCUGGAGGUGUAAAUCACACCACAUAACUAAUUUAUGACAUUCUGCGCCUACAGCUGUACGCCGACGUUUUGUAAGUGUAAGGGCGGCUCUGAUUUCUAAGUGCUUUUGGCAACAGAAGAAUAGGAAGCUGAUUACAUGUGCCUCUCACCCUGCACCCGAAGCCAUAUAUUAAACAAGGUCGGGGUAGAUCGGCAGCCAGAUGCAAGGGAUAUCAGUAAAUGGUUCGGUUGCAGAGAUCUGGAGAUGGGACCCGGAUUUUCUUCCAGAUAAAUGAUGAACAUUUGAAUCUGUGAAACAUGAGGCAGCAAGAUCUCUCAACCAAAGAAGCUGUCUAAUUGUAUUUUCCAGUGAAAAUGUACUUGAACAAACUUUCUUAAAGGAUAGCCUUACACUCCUAUCUUAUCAGACUUUGAAAAAAAUCUGUUUUCUCAGCCAGAACCUGUGCAAGAUACAGGUCUGUUUUUUGGGGUUGGAUGUCAUAUGUCUUGCAUAUACAUGUCUUUGUUAUGGUUUUAAUAAUCGUGCGCUUGAUACUCUUGUCAAUUUGAAAGCAAAAAUCUGUUUUCAAAUCACUGCCUGCUUAUAAGGUUUUGUUUGCAGAAGCCUUUGAUUUACAGGUGUACCCUAUGCAGAUCGUUAAUGACAAGACAGUUGUGUGGCAGGACUGCAUGCUUAGUUCUCGGGCAAGCACUCCCAUUCUUGGUCACUUUGUCUUUCAUGGGAGUUCUGUGCUUGCCUUAGGCAGAGGAACCAACAACUCCUAAUUUAGGAAGUACAAAGUAAGUAUUUUAGGGAAGAGGAGAAAAUCCUCUGUGACUGAAAAAAGAACAAGCCUCCUGACGUAAUUACACACCAAAAUGAUAAGACAUUCACAGCCAAAAAAAAUGUUAACACAGAUUUCUGGUAACAAAAUAGUUUACUAAAAUAUCAUACAUCGAAUAGCUAGAUCAACAUUCUCAGGUUCUAUGCCAAUAAUGCAAACAUUAUCACAUGUUUCUUUUUAAUUAACAUUACCCAGUAUCCUGCACACAUCCAAGAAGAAUAAUGUCCCUGCCAGAUCCAUGAUGGACAGUUAGCCCUUGUAUCCCAUUCGGCUUUUACAAUAAGGCAAAUGUUUGACUGCAAAAAUCUAUCUCGUAUUCUCAAAAAAGACUGGAAGGGCGAUACCUCCUCAGUAAUGCUGAAUCAGUCAUCUUUCAUGGACAUGCUGGAAAGUCCUAGCCUAAGCUGAGGUUAGGUUAACCGAUGUUUAGAAUUGCAAGAAAUGUACUUAUUUUUCUGUGCUCCAAAACUCAUCUCGUGUCGGAAAUAUACAGUAUGCUGAAAUGAACUUAAUCAACUCUUAGACACCGACAGCUCUGUUGAUUCCUGCAGUCCUUGUUACUCAGUAAGAAGUGCUGGAGAAAGUUUCCAGAGUAACUUUCCAAAUCUAUUCAUAAAAAAGAAAAAGCUAAUUUAAUGAUCUUCCUUUCCAAGAAACAUAAAAAUUCUAAGUUUGUGCAGAUAAACUGCUAACAGUGUCUCUAAAUUCUUGUAUUCAUCUAUAAAAAACCUAAAAAAAGAGAUUAGUAGAUGUACACUGCAGUAUUUUGUUUGCUGUCUUAGCUAUAUUUCCAAUCUUUCUCUGGUGGCCUUUCAUAGGAAAACACACAUAAUUUGGCAAAAGGCUACUAAAGAGUUCUGAUUGUAUUAAAAGCCAUGAUCCAUGGCCUAAGCAGCAAAAGCUAGCUUCAUUUAGCUGAUACGUAUAAACUGACAAGCUCAGCGGCUGUAUUUGAAUAAACAAAUACAUUUGCCUUAUGUGCAAUUGAUUAGUUUUCUUAAAUCAUCUUUUACAGCAGAAUCAUACUAGACAUUUAUUUAUUUAUUUAUUACAUUCUUAUUCGAAGCAACAGACGGAAUGGGAAGGAUUAUGAAAUCAAUUUCUAAUUUAUGUCAGCUAACAGAAAAUUGUACGUUGAGAAAAAUAAUGUGCAGCAACCUGAGGUUUUCACUUCAGAAACUAAUUUGCAGUAAGAAGGGGAACAAGCUACCUAAAUCCAUAAUAUUUCAUUCUGUGCUGAUUGCAGACUUAGUGGUGGCAAGGAAAAUGUUUCAGUAUGACAGGCCAUUAAAUGCCUAACAACAUAUAUUUGGAGGGGACAAAAUAUUACAAAUGCAGUAAUUUGUAGGCAUCUUGCAGAGGUUUCAUAGAAAUUUCAAAUAUGCUCCCUGGAAACAACAUCCAGAAUGGAGUGUUUUGUUUAAACACGCCUGAAGACCUAAUAACCAAUGGCUCAGUAACAAUGAACUUAGCCCUGAAAAUAUAGGGGUAGCUUCUGCAAAUGUGAUUAUCACUGAAUAGCAUCGCCUUCCCCAGUUAGUUAGGAAUGUUCCUGAACUAAAAUAAAACCUGUAGACAAGAAAGCUAGCAGAGCCUGCCAUCAUAGGUAACAUUUCUGUGAUGAUACAAGGCCAGAAUCUGUUCAAGUAAGAUGUAUUUUAAUGCUGCUCAAGAGCAGACACCCCGGAAAGCUGUCCCCUAAUGGGAGACUUUAUCCUUUGGCCACAAGCUCAGCUUGACAUAAGACCAGCAGCAGCACCAUCCCAGGAGCCAGGUGCCUCUUGAAUCUCAACGCCAAGUGGAAGAGAACAAGCAAACUCAUCUGUAUGUAAAUAAACAGCUUUCUGCCUGAACAAAGGCUCUCUGGGAUAGUUUGGUUGGACUGGUCCUGACAGCUGGGGAUAAAACUGGUGCCAGGCACGGAGGUGGAAGUAAAGCACAUGCUGCAGUGAACAGAUGGGACAGGAGAUGCACAAGGGGCUGGAUGAGUGUUUCUCUUUAGUACCAGAAGAGGCCAAGGUGAACAUUAAACUGCACUGUGCUGUCCCAGCUCACAGACAGUCUAUUCUACAAGACUGGGAAUUGAGAGAGACCUGAAAGCAUUCAUUUAUACUUAACAUUUUUCCUUAAAGUGGCCUUGUUAUAACAGAAUCAUUAAGGUUGGAAAAGACCUCUAAGAUCAUCUAGUCCAACCAUCUACCACUAGUAUUGCCCACUGAACCAUGUCCCUCAGUGCCACAUCUCUACAUUUCUUGAACACCUCCAGGGACAGUGACUUCACUACCUCCCUGGGCAGCUUGUUCUAAUGCCUCACCACUCUAGGGAAAAAAAAAAGUUUUUUUUCCUAAUAUUCAACCUGAAUCUCCCCUGGCACAAGUUGAGGCCAUUCUCUCACCUCUAGGGAUAGGGCAUCCACAGCUUAUCUGGACAGCCUGUUCCAGUGCCUUAUCACACUCUUAGAAAAUAAUUUCUUCCUUAUAUCUAAUAGAAAUAUCCCCCCUUUUACAUUAAAACAGCUAUGCCUUGCCCUAUCACUACACUUCCUGAUAAAGAAUCCAUCCUCAACUGCAGACCCUGUAGGCCCGCUUUAGGUAGUAGAAGGCCACUAUAAGGUUUCUCUGGAGCCUUCUCUUCUCCAGGCUGAACAAGCACAGCUCCAUCAACCUUUCUUCAUAGGAGAGGAACAUCCUUGUGUCCCUCCCCUAGGCUACCCUGCCGAGGUCCGUGUCCUUCUUAUGCUGGAAGCCUCAGAACUGAAUGCAGUAAAUCCAGUAGUACAAUAGCAAGCUUGCAUCUAGGAUACAAUAAUGGCAAACAGUGAACAGCAAAGAAAAAUGACUUUUCUACAGGUUACAUGGAAAUAAUAGUGAUUUAAAUGCUGCUGUUAGGCUGUUCAGUCUGAGCCUUUGCACUUACUGAAGGCAGGAACAAAAGCAAAUGUACUACAACAGGGUUUUGAGUCCAACGGCAGAUACAGUUCCAAGCUGGAGAUGCUGUUUGUUCAGCCUGGAUGUAUGCGCUAAGGGAAGGCAAACACCUCCUGUGCCACUCACCCAUGGUUAGCCACCUCCCUGCUAAUACCAUACACGUGGCUAUUUUCUGAAUGGGCAACUUAAAAUAGAGCAGGUUAUUCUUCCACCAAAAAAAAAAAAAAAAAGGAAAAAGAAAAAAUCUUACAUUAUCAGCUGUCAAAAAAAAACAGUGCAUUUUACUUCCAUUUACUUUACAUCAGAAGAAAAUGCAUAAUAUAACUCUCAACAUCUAUCAGGAUAGGGCAUGUUUCUGCUGAAAAUACUUAUCCUGCUCUUCAGGCACAGGUAAGUGAAAAAGGACACUUACACAACUGUCACUAAGUUAAAUAAAAAGAACAGAAAUAAGAAAAAUAAACAAAACCUAAGUAACAGAAUGCUGUAUCAGAAUUUCUGAAUUAGAAUUACUGUAUUAGAAAAUAUGUCAUGGAAACCCUGAAUGACCAAAACAUCUGAAUCACUCCUUGCUCUCUUUGUUGCUGGAUCUUUCCACGUCACCUCCUCAAAAAUUCUCAGGAAGGCUGACACUAUUUGCUUUUUCACCCAUCCUAAUUACCCCUGUUAGUCCCCUGACUUUAUUUGAGCCAGUGCCUCAUUGCUCUUUCUGAGAAUGUUUUCCCUAAUAUUCAACCUGAAUGUCCCCUCGUGCAACUUGAGGCCAUUCUCUCUCAUCCUAUUGCUGUUACCUGGGAGAAGAUGCCAACCCCCACCUCUCCACAAACCUCUUUUCAGGUGGUUGUAGGGAGCAAUAAGGUCUCCCCUGAGCCUCCUCUUCUCCAGACUGAACAAUCCCUGUUCCUUCAGCCACUCCUCAUAAGACUUGUUUUCCAAAUUCACAUUUUUACUACUUCUUUGAUGGCAAAACUGAACUUUGUGUGCAAUUUAAUGAAAUAGGAGUACUGCAUAAGGCAUGAUUUUAUGAACUCCUUGUUCCCUUCCCAGAACCCAAAUAUUUUUCACCGUAUGUGCUGUAAGGGCUCAAUUCCUUAUCUCUGAAACCCCAAAAUACCCUAAAGAUGUUCCGAGUUUUUCUUGCUAAUCAAACAAGAAAUGAGGUUUGUAGUCUGAAUGAUUACUUUGACACAUUUUCUCACUAAGUCUUGUUUAAAAAAGAAAAAAGAAAAAUCCUCCUAACUUCUCCAUCAUACACAACCAGUUCCUCAUAGGGAAAAUGUCUAAAUCAGAUGUACUGUUUAUCUCCCUGCAGAAAGGGACUGUAGUUUAGCUUUAAUCAACCAUUUAUAGCAGCUUUCAAUCCAUCAAAGCGAAGCACAAACAUAAAACAUGUCUCCUAGGUUCACUGUAUUGCGAAGACCAGGACACUCUCCACUGAGGCUCCUCAUGGACAUACUGGAGACAGUCCAACAAAAGACCACUGACAUGACAAAGGGUCUGGAUCAUCACUUCUACAAGGAAAGGCUGAGAGAGCAGGAGCCUGGAGAAGAGAAGGCUCAAGGGGGAUUCUGUGAUGUACAGGUGACGGAGCACUGGCACAGGCUGCCUAGAGAGGCUAUGAAGUCUCCUCCUCAGAGAUCUUCAGGAGCUGCCUGGACAUGGGCCUGGGAACUCAGCCCUGGGUGUCACUACGGGAGCGGGGGUCAGGCCAGGUGAUCUCCAGAGCUCACUGCCAGCCUCAACCAGGCUAUGCUUGAUUCUGUGAUAUGGAUCCAGCUCCAUCACCUGAUGAUUUCCACUGGGAGGAACGCAUAAAGAAAUAAUGCGGUAGCCUUACACAAUCACAAAGUAACCUGCUAUACCUAAAGCUGUACCAAGAGUGCUGCAUGGGCAAAUUCUUCCACCUCAGAAGGAAAAUCUGUGUAGCCUGAAUGGGAGAUAUCUGUCACUACACAGUUCUGCCCACACAGAGCUCACUGAAAGUACACGGCUACAGUUCCCUAUGCCAGGAGGGGAACAUCUUGACAGCUACAGGAACUUUUCUUAAAUACCUGCCCAGAUGGAAGCAUAUGCAGUAAUCUCUUAAGGGAGAGAGGGAAGAGGGUGCAAUUAUUUUCUGUAAAUGAAAGUAUCUUGUUGUUUUUUGUUUGCUUGUUUUUGCACUGCAGAAACAUUCCCUGGCCAAUAGCAGCAUGAUUUUGAGAGCUCAUCCAUGGAGAAGGCAGCCUUGUGGGCCUGCAUCUUCCAGAAAGAAAAAAAAGAAAGAAAGAAAAAAAAAAGAAGUCGCUUUUGUAGAGAAGAGAUGGAAAGAGGCAGAAGUGAAUGGGAGAGAAAGAUGUUACAGUGCUCUGAGGCAGAAAUGGGGACUAAAACAACCGUAAGAAAUGUCUUCAACAUGAUGGAUCUAGAGUUAAUUGAGAGUUUUGCUGGAGUCAAAAGCAGCCCUGUAAAUUCAAAGCAUUUUAGUUUGUUAAUUCAAUCAGGGAAGGUGCUAGAGCACUUUCCCAUGUUCUUCUGUCAGUAACUGAUUCCAGUAGCUUCGCUGUUCAGAUAAGCUUACUUCAUGGCACGUCACAAUUUUCUUAAAGCGAGAAACAGAGAAUGGAAUCUUUUCUGGAAAAAACGUCUGUUCUGAAUGGAGCUCCUCCGGCUGAAUUUUUAAUUUGUCAAGGCACAGUCCUACGAACACAUCCUCCAGUUUGAUGAAUGGAAUGCUCUCCGAAACAUUAUAGAUCUGACUAGCAACAUCGGUGGAUAAAACAUAGCCAGUCCCUGAACAAAAUGGCGGCACUGAUGUCAGCCUGCUGCCCGUUAUCCACAGGGGCUCCCAAGAGGAAAUACGUCACCAGGCGCUUGCCAGCCACCGUUCUCUCCUUCCCCCAGGUUUGCCGGAUGACUCUCCUGGCAUCGAUGUCUUUACAUGAGGAUGCCACAAGCAGGACAAGGAAAGGUUGCCUCAGUGCAGCGCAAAAACAAGGGAGAAAUCAAUCGCAGCUCACUGCUGGCAGCUCUCCUCCUCCUCCCCCUCCACUCCAAUGGUACAGACACAGAAACAUGACAGAAGAGAUGCACAAAAUGCUUUCCGCUUCUUCUGCUUUGCAGGGAAAUACAGGUGAGGAAUGGGGAAUCACUUCCAAAUUUGCUUAAAAAAAAGCACAGGGCACGUAUCCUCAAUUUCCUCUACUUCUCAUUUUGUGCUCAGAAAACUCUCCUUGACUGUUGGCACUUUCCACAGCCUGACCCACCAGCUUCCAGGGGGGAACCACAAAAGCUUCGGCACAGCUGUGUCUGUGCUCCCCAUGGGCAGGGCGGGCACCUCGGGAGCUGCUAGGGAGCGCACUGCGGAUCUCUAUCAAACUUCUUCCCUGCUCAGCGCUGUAAAGGAGGGCAGGGGGACGCAGUCCCACACAGGGCUGCACGCUGACGGGCUGGCAUGCAGGAAUCACAAAAUCAUUGAACAGUUUGGGUUGGAACAGACCUCAAAGCCCACCCACCCCAACCCCUGCCAUGGGCAGGGCUGCCCCCCACCAGCUCAGGCUGCCCAGGGCCCCAUCCAACCUGGCCUUGAGCGCCUCCAGGGAUGGGGCACCACAGCUUCUCUGGGCAGCUGUGCCAGCGCCCUCUGCAUAAAGAAACUAUGAGUUAUGGUGCCAAUAUUUAUUGCUGGGGGAGUGGAGGAAAUGACAAUUCCACAAACCAUAACCCCUGUGAUAGAAAAAGAAAUAAGGAAAAGAAUCAACAUCUCCGUGCCUCUGGCUCAGUAUUGCACUUGAUGUGCAGGUCCACUCCUAUACCGAUGAAGCAUUUAAGCAGAGCAGUAUAAACAUAUGCUUAUAUUUCGCUAGCAGGAAAUUUAAAUCAACAUUUAUCUCCAUAAAGCCAGUCCUCAAAGAAUGAAUCAGGGACCAAAUCGGUAUUGUAAUUGAACUAAAAUAAUCCUAAGCUUCCUCUAAAAGCACAUAGCUUUAACCUGUCACGUCGAAUGAGAAUUAUACACUUAAACUAUAAUCUUCCUGUUCCCUUAGUCAUCAGAGCCCAGAUCAAAGUGAAAGAGGAAAAAAGCACAGAUGCUGCUCGGUUGUGAAGGAGGAGGUGGGGCACACAGGGAGGUAAGCUGUGUUUGGAAAUGGAGUAUUUCUGCUGCCCAAAUCAGAUUCACCUGAGUGCAGCUCAUAGCUGGACACUGGGGCUCGAAGAACUUGCCUUGAUAUCAUCACCUCCUGCAACAGGUGCUGCAAGUUGCAAGUGGCCCUCAUAACAGCGUAUAUUGCCAUGUGGGAAAUCACUGGGGUGUAAGGCAGGCAGAGAGGAGGCUGAGCUGCAGUCGCUCACCAAAAUGCUGUUGUUUGGGGUGGGGUUAGGUUUGCUGUGCUUUGCUGUGGCGCUGGGUUCUUUUAAUAUUAUUAAUAAUGUGAAUAGGAGCUACGUCCCUGGGCUAUGCUGACAAGGCAGCUGCAGGCAGAAGAGCUAUGUCCUUGAGCUGUGCUGAUAAGAGCUGCAGGUGAGGGAUCUGUAGGCAGCACGCCUGGGGUAGGUGCUGGGCAUCACAGUGGUGUUAACACCCAGUUGCACUGGGAGCGUCAGGGCUGUCCACAAAAAAUUAUGUCCACCUGUCUUGUAGAAGCUUCCAGCAUUUCAUUGCAUUGAAUCUACAUGCAAAUCUGUUUCAGUCAGGAGGAAGAAUUUUGUUGCAAUUUUCGGGUCAACGUUUGUGUUGUAAAGACAUUAAGAGCUGUCACCUCGUGUGAGGAACGGUAGUACCAAUAUAACCUAUUUUUAUAGUGUUAAAAUGAUUCUUAGGUCCCAUUUCCAGUUUUGCAGGUUACCGGUGGGCAUGGUUGCUCCUGUGGUGGCACAGAAUGAAGGUGGGGACAGUGAUGGAGUUGGAGAGCUAUAACUGUGUGCUCCCUUGGCAGGACUGGGGUCAGCAUUGCAGAAGCCGCACUAUUAAUCCACUGGAGAUCGAUGAAAACCAACAUUUUUUUUUCAUAGAAUCCACAGAAUUCAUAGAAUGGUUUGGGUUGGAAGAGUCCUUCAAGCCCACUCACCCCAACCUGUGCCGUGGGCAGGGCUGCCCCCCACCAGCUCAGGCUGCCCAGGGCCCCAUCCAACCUGGCCUUGAGCGCCUCCAGGGAUGGGGCACCACAGCUUCCCUGGGCAGCUGUGUCAGCGCCUCACCGCCCUCUGAGUAAGGAAUUUCCUCAUAAGAUCUAACCUAGAUUUCACCCUUUUAGUUUAAAGCCAUUCCCCCUUGUCCUAUCACUAUCAGACCACGUAAAAAGUCAGUUUCCCUCCUAUUUAUAUGCUCCCCUCAAGUAAUGGGAAGGCCACAGUGAAAUCUCCCUGCAUCCUUCUCUUCUCCAGACUA
Molecule: long non-coding RNA, 11489 nt
Organism: Gallus gallus (chicken)
Lineage: Eukaryota; Metazoa; Chordata; Aves; Galliformes; Phasianidae
Exons: 6
Source: RefSeq, a predicted model, not a curated record